GGCAGCAUAGUGUAGUGGUUUGAAAUUUGGACUAUGACUCUGGAGACCAGGGUUCGAUUCCCAGCUUGGCCA
This is a non-coding RNA of Phrynosoma platyrhinos (Desert horned lizard), 72 nucleotides long. NCBI's taxonomy places the organism in Eukaryota, Metazoa, Chordata, Lepidosauria, Squamata, Phrynosomatidae. The record is from the annotation of a GenBank genome assembly.